UCUGUGCUCCUGCCUCAAACCUGAACGAGAAAAUAACUGUGGAUGAGGUUGACCCACCUUUUACCAUUGGAAAUAAAUUCUCUUCCCUCCUUGUAUGUAGAGGCUUAGUAGCGUCAUGGUUCCUUUUGGUUUCUGUACUCGAUAGUUUGUUUCUUAGCUGGUACUGUAGGAGGUGAUUUAGGGCUUGUAUAGGGGGACAUAUACAUUAGAAAAGAGUUAAAAUAUCAAUUUUAAUUCUUUGUUUCGAUAUAGUUUUUCCAAACUUUUCUUUCCUUUUCUUUGUUGCGUGUUUUUCGGAGUCUACCGACAGGUGAGGCUGCGGAUUGGGGAUGUAGAAAGAUUGUCUGGCGGGUUGGCUCACAGCAUGGUAAUGGGUUUGAACUUUGUAUAUCUGAUAUCUAUUGUUGGGUAAAUUAUCACCCAAGGAUCAUGAUCACAUCUGCUGUGAUGUCAAGAGAGAUGCAAGUGCAGCCGCUUGUUUUGAAUAAUUUAGGGCGGAAGCAGCAUUUUAUUGACUGCAAUUUGUAAGAAGCGAAAUUUCCUUGCUAAUGUCCUGCAUGCCCACCAUUUGCGCAAUAAAUUAUCCUCCAAUGCACGUUCUAGAAUUGGACUCCUCUCUACGGCGUAGCCGACGUUUUAAUGGUUACCCUUUUAUAUUAUAUUAUUGGGACGAAUUCUUCAGAAAGCCUAAACAAAUUCAAGGCAGGAAAAGGAUUUCAACUUUCUAUUGAAGAAACGAGUAUAACUGAAUCAAUCCAGAGUCCUUGCCAAAAACAAUAUAAAAAUUAAAAAGCUCCCUUCUUAUGAACCUUCAAGGAGUGUACGUCAGUCAUUACGUUGACGUGUGAUGUGAAUUAUUUUGUUUGUCUCUUUUCUUAUUAAAUCUUUUUAAGAUAACAACCCUUAAAUUAUCUGAACUCUUUUCUCCAAAAAUUAAAAAAGAAAAAGGAAGCAAACCUGUACAUUUUCAAAGUAACUGUGUGUGGAGGUAGCGUUGUCAUUUCGAAUAAGAAAUUUAAUAAUCUAUUGUUUAAUAUAAUCUAUUGUUUUAAUAAUAAAAUUUAUUUUAUGAAUAAAAAAAGAGUUUUAAUUAUAUUGAAUUGUUAUUAUUAGCAUAAGAUUUUUAAGAUGUUGAUUCUUUAUAUAACUCUUAACUAGUAAAAUUUCAUUAAAAAAAAUAUUAGAUUAGAGUUCAUGAGUAAUUAAAUCUCAAAUUAUUAUAUAUUGACAAUUUUAAUUUUAAUAUCAUCCUAGCGUCAAAUCUAAGAUUUGACAAGUAAGGAUUUUGUUUUAUUGAUUUGGGCUUAGGAAUUAGAUAUACGCUUAUUUUCUUUGCAUGAGAAAUAAGAGGUUCUUCGAGCAGACAUGGUAAAUUUCUCAAAUAAUUUUUUUUUCCUUUCAUUCAUUUCAAUGAAUAUUACAUAUGCAUAUUUUUUAUUUUGUUUCCAUGAUUAUAAUUUAUCGAUUUUGAAAUUGAGGGAAAAUAUUCGAGUUAAAAAUUAAUUAUACUAAAUUAAUAUAUCAAAUCAAUUUGCACGUUCUUAUUUAACAAUACAUGUCUUUGUAUUGAUAGAUACUCAGACAUUAGUGAUACUUUUUUCAUAUUUAAAUUUAUUUUCGUACAAAUUAAAGUUUUAAAAAAUAAAUAUAUUAUGCUUGCAACUGUAGAAAAAUGAUAUUUGAGUCAAAUUUAGAAACAAAAACAUAGGGAAAAUUUGUGUGGUCUAAGCAAUUAAGAUUUGGAUUUUAUUGGUUUAGUUAAACUUUAGUUAACAGAUUAAAAAAAAAGUAGAGUGUCAAAGACGAAGAUGCCAGCCCCCACUUGAAUUGAAUAUCUGUUUAUAGCUUCAAGCUGCAGUAUUAGGCAUAUGUCUUUUGUCACUUACCCACAUGAAUUUUUUUGUUUCAAAAUCCAUAACUACAGUUUCGUCAUAUUCAGAGAACCGAAAUUGCUCAGUUUCUUUUGGUUGUAUCUUUUUGACUGUGCUUUUUUAGACAAAAACAUGGAGAAAAAGAGGGUAAUUUAUUAAUGAAGUGCAGAAGAUGAAAAGGAAAGGAAACCGUGUGCAAACCUUUGUUUCUUCUGAUUUUCUUCAAUUAUUUGGUUUUUUUUCUUUUCUUCUUUUCCAAAAUUUAUGAAAAUAAAGAAAAAGGAAAUUGAUCCCUAGUCUCCUUUGUUGCCUACAAUUCUACUUUUAGCCAUCACUUUGGAUCCAACGAAGACAAAUUGAUUUAUUUUUACAAGUAAGCACAUAUGAAAUAUGACCAUACUCUUGACGGAAAGGCAACCAUCUUGACCUGAAAACUUGGUUGUUUCUUGACUUUUACGAGACACACACGGAGAGAGAAAGUGUUAUGGUUAGAAUCGGGAUGCGUUUCAGACAACCACACUUGAAACGAAUGAAUACAUAUAUUUGGAAAGCUGAGGGCUUGUUGUAGUUUUCAGAAGUGGGUUCAGUUGAGAAACUUCAAACUUCCCUCCAUCCUCUCUCUCUCUCUCUCUCUCUCUCUACAAGGUAUAGCCUUCGGCGCACAUGCUUUGGUGCUUUCGUUUGAAACUUACAAUGGAGAUUUGAUAUAUAAGGAGGAAGUUUGAAAUUCACAGAGGUGUUUCUGUUGAUGUUUCUUGACUUGGGUUUUUGGUUUUCAAGUUAUAGAGCCUCCAGAAACACAUCAUUUGGAAGAGUCUAAGCUUCUAGAGUUGUGAACUCUUAAAUUUCUAUACAACCCCGUCUGCGUUUAUAUCAGAGUUUCCAGUCAGAUUAAGUUUUAGGAAAAUUCAAGCUGAUGUAUCAAAAGCAAAGAUUGAAGAUGUAUUAAAAGCUAUACCUAAAGGCAGCCAUUGAAAGCAUUUAUUGCACAAAGUUUUCUCUCCGAACUUUCUGUAAGUAUAAUGUCAUUGCUAACCCAUGUCCCUUGCAUGCUCACUUCUCCCAAUCUUCCUCUUCUUCUUCUGUUCUUAAUUAAUCUUUUUCCUUUCUUAAUUCUGUCCUUUAAUUCUCUUAUUGGUCAUUGUUGCAAGUUAAAGCUAAGCUAAUUCUAAUGCUAUCAUCGAGCCACCAGAUUAGAACUUUGUCGGCCUGCAAACAUCUGCAAGUUGCAGUUUCCAUCAUACUUCUUCUUCGAUCUUUUUUCUGAUUCUUUAAACAGAAGAAAACUGUUAUUUUGUUUUUCUUUUUUGUUCCUUUCGAUGUCUAGCGGGUCUAGAUCAUGUCGGUUAAAAAAUGUUCUUUGUGACAAACAGGAUCCAAGAAUAAGUCCAGAAUUCUUCAAGCCUCAAGUGGAGAAGCAACAGAGCUGGACAGAACCAUACACAACAUAUCCUUUAAGAGAGUACUACCUAUACGCAACGUUUUGUUUAUUGAAGGUUCUCUUUUGAAUCUGCAAACAUAAAACACACCGUUUUAUUUAUGUAAAGUUUGAAAUUCAGUUAGUGUAGAUAGUUAGUUGUAUAAAUUAGAAUAAUUAGUUUUUUUGCUUUCUGUCAAUUGCUCAUUGCCCUAUGUAUAUAAGACAAGGGACAAACUAUCCUUUGUGGGAAAUUUCAUUCUGAAACAGAUCAGAAUUCUUUUCAACCGCCUUAGCAUUUUCUUCCCAUUUUCAUAUUCUGUCUUGGUACCAGAGCAGGUAGGACUGAGGACCAGACGAAUAGGGCUUUGACAGCAAAUUUUUUUUUGGAGUGGUGGUUUUAAUAGAACAGUGAGUAUACUGGUUAUCCUUUCAUCCUUUAUUCUUUAGCUUUCAUUUACUUGCCUAUUAGCUGAGAAAAUGUUUGAAUCAAGUGAAUCAACCACUAGAAACACUGCACCUAAACCACAGCUCACAUCACAGGUUUCACAAGCUAAUGAUCCCCAAUCACCAUAUUACCUUCAUCACACUGACCACCUUGGUUCAGUGGUUGUAAACCCCAAACUCACCACAAACAACUAUGUUGCAUGGAGCCGAUCUUUCUUACUAACCUUGUCAAUCAAAAACAAGGCUGGAUUCAUAAAUGGCUCCAUUCCCAAGCCUUCAAUCACUAAUGAUCUAUAUCCUAUCUGGAACAGAUGCAAUAACCUCAAAGUAUCCUGGUUAUUAGAUUCUAUCUCCCAACCAAUAGCCUCUACCAUCUUCUUUAUGGAAUCUGCUGCUGAAAUUUGGAAUACCCUGAAACUGAACUAUGCUCAACCUGAUGAUACCCGUGUUUGUAAUCUUCAAUACACACUUGGAAGUGUAAUUCAAGGAGUCAAAACAGUAGAUGCCUAUUUUAUAGAGCUAAAAUGCAUAUGGGAAGAACUAAGAAACUAUAGGCCCUUGCCACAUUGCGAAUGUGAAAAAUGCAAUGCCAGUUGCUUCAAGAAAUUCUCUAAUCAAUACCAAAAGGACAUGGUAUUUAGGUUCCUCAAUGGUUUGAAUGAAUCCUUCUUAACCAUUAGGUCCCAAAUCAUUCUAAUGGACCCAAUACCAACACUAGACAAGGUUUAUAGCAUGGUACUGAGAGAAGAAUCAUAGAGAAAUAUGUUCCUGCAAUCCCAACCCUUCCUUGAGUCUUCAGCAAUGUUAGGUACUACUGAUGUAAAGAGAAAGCCAAGGAAGGAUCUUACUUGUACUCACUGUGGGAAGAAAGGACAUGUAAAGGAGAAGUGUUAUAAGAUAAUUGGUUUUCUAGAGGAUUUUAAAUUCACUAAAGGGAAGCCUCAUGUGAAGAAAGGGGCAGCUGUAAACAGUUUUACUACAGCAGUUGAACCACAGCCAGAUGACAAUCAAGCAAAUCAUGUGGAGGAGAUAGGAGGCUCUAGUUCCAUGUCACAGAUGACUAUGCUUAAGCAGCAAGUUAACAAGUUAAUGGAUCUCUUAAAUGAGAAUGGUUUAAUUAGCAAUGAUGGUAAGAGCGCCCCUGCAAACACUUAACCCAACAAACACUCACUUGUUAAUUCUGCCUUUGCAGGUAUAGUCUCUAAUUACCCUUGCUUCAAUACACAUAAUAAUUUGCCAUUUGAAUUCAAGCAUGUUAACACUAUCAUGAUUAAGCAUGGACAUUGGAUCAUGGACUCAAGUGCAACAGAUCAUAUAGCCUAUUCCUUAGAUAAUUUUCUUCAAGCCAACCCUGUAGAGAACUAUUUUGUUCAACUGCCAAAUGAUAGAAGAACAUUAGUUUCCCAUAUAGGCACAGUUAAAGUAAACUCUUCAUUGAUUCUAUAUGAUGUCCUGUGUGUACCAAGCUUUAAAUUCAAUAUAAUAUCAAAAGUAAACUUACCUGUAGCAAGAAAAACUAUGUGCUGUUUAUCGACUCACAUUGUAUUAUCCAGGAUACCCUCUCUUGGACAGUGAUUGGGGUUGUUAGGGCUACUUCAGGGUUAUAUCUUAUGCAAGACAGUGAGCAGGAUAUGUCUAGAUUUUGUUUUGACAAAGUUGUAAAGUUUCCUUCAAUUUUCUCUAUCGAUUCUUGUAAACCAGAAAACAAAAUCAAAGGUUUUAAUAUUUGGCACUUUAGGUUAGGCCAUGCACCUUUAGAAUGGAUUAAUGUGAUCCACCAACAUUGUCCAGUUGUUGAUUGUUCAAAUGAAUUAAUAUGUGAGAUCUGCCCUUUGGCAAAGCAAAGAAAGCUUUCUUUUCCUCUUCAUAUUCAAAGUACAAAUGCUAUUUUUCAAUUAAUUCAUGCUGACAUUUGGGGACCUUGUGAGGUUUCAACUUUAUCAGAACAAAGAUAUUUUUUAACUAUUGUGUAUGACUUUUCUUGAUUCACUUGGGUAUUCUUAAUGAGAAACAAGUCAGAAGUCUCAACUAUUAUUCCUUCUUUUGAUACAUAUGUACAAAAAUAGUUUAAUUGCUCAAUUAAAUGCAUAAGAUCAAAUAAUGGGAAUGAGUUUAGACUUACUGAUUUUUUCACCAAAACUGGCAUAGUUCAUUAGCUGUCCUAUGUAGGUAACCCUCAGUAGAAUGGUGUUGUUGAAAGAAAACACCAACACAUUCUGAUGGUUGCAAGAGCCUUAAUACAUCAGUCAAGUAUCCCUCUUUAUUUCUGGGGAGAUGCAGUCCUCACUGCAGUUCACAUAAUUAAUAGGGUACCUAGCAAAAUAAUUCACAAUAAGUCACCAUUUGAAUUGUUACAUGGAAAGCUACCAUCAUAUGACCAUCUCAAAGUUUUUGGAUGUUUAUGUUUUGUUUCCACCUUAACACAAAAUAGAAAGAAGUUGGACCCGAUAGCAAGCAAAUGUAUUUUUUUAGGCUAUCCAAAUAAUGUAAAAGGGUAUAAGGUAUAUGAUCUUUGUGAACAAGAGGUCCUAAUAUCAAGGGAUAUUGUUUUUCAUGAGCAUGUGUUUCCAUUUCAUUCAUCAAGCAAUAACAUGCAGUCUGAUGCAUUUUAUCAAACACAUAGUAUGCAUGAUGAAUACAUGGAAGAUUUUGAUGCUAAUUGUCCAUAUCAGCCUUACCAACAGCACACAACACCUGAAUUAUGUUCUCUUGAGCCUUCUUCAUCAUCUGAAACAUUUUCUUCAUUGAAUUCAAGUGACAUUUUCCUCAAUCCACCCUUAAACGACAGCAUAUCACAAACUGUAGACAGUUUUAAUGUUGAUAUGAGUACUUCUCAAGAAGCAGUAGCACCAGCCAGAAGAAGUACAAGACAAAAACAACCUCCUAAGUACCUUGAUGCAUAUUAUGUUGACAUACCUUCACAAUCUAAUUCUAUUACCCUUCAUCCAAUAACCAAGCACCUAUCAACUAAAUAACUCCCACCUGCACAUAAGGCAUUUACUAUUACUUUGUCCCAUAUUCAUGAGCCAAAUUCUUACCAUCAAGCUAUAAACUAUUCUCAUUGGAGAGAAGCAAUGGACCUAGAACUGAAAGCUUUGCAAGACAAUGGUACAUGGACCAUAGAACCUCUACCUUCAAAUUCACAUGUAAUUGGCUGCAAGUGGGUAUACAAGGUUAAAAUGAAGGCAAAUGGUGAAAUUGAAAGAUAUAAGGCAAGAUUGGUUGCUAAAGGGUACAACCAAGUUGCAAGAUUUGAUUACCAAGAGAUUUUUAGUACUGUAGCAAAACAGUCCACCAUUAGAGUGUUCUUUGCUCUAGCUGCUACAAAUAGUUGGUCUUUAUCACAA
Molecule: long non-coding RNA, 7082 nt
Filed under: Theobroma cacao (cacao)
Lineage: Eukaryota; Viridiplantae; Streptophyta; Magnoliopsida; Malvales; Malvaceae
Description: long non-coding RNA (TCAC_LNC002695)
Source: RNAcentral